This is a non-coding RNA of Arachis ipaensis, 455 nucleotides long. The record is from RefSeq and is a predicted model, not a curated record. NCBI's taxonomy places the organism in Eukaryota, Viridiplantae, Streptophyta, Magnoliopsida, Fabales, Fabaceae.
GGGAGACAGCGACGCCGAGUGACCAAGCAAUGGUGGAGCACCUUCGAAGGAACGACAGUUGCUGCGCGAUGGAGGUGGCUGUUCGAAUAAACGACGGCGGCGGCACGACGCGGUGGCUGGACGGAGGUGAGGGACGACCGGACGACGAGCUCGAUGAGAAGUCGUGUGAGAGUCAGAGAGUCGUUCCCAGUUCUCACUCUCAGUUCUCAGUUUCUAAAGCUCGAAGAGAAGGGGGAUACACUCAGGAAUCAGGAUCGAAUUAGGGAUUUAGGGCUCCAGAGGCUGAAACGACAACGUUUUGCUGCCCAGCCAAAAAACCAGCCGGGUCACGGUUCGGUUCGACCGACCGGUUACCGACCGGUUUACCGAUUCAAUUCCGAUUUUCAAAUUCUGCAGUUUUGAUGUUUAACCGAAUCAUUUUUCUGUGCAGUUUACGGUUCAACCGGUUCAACCGA